Molecule: ribosomal RNA, 505 nt
Filed under: uncultured Actinomyces sp.
Lineage: Bacteria; Bacillati; Actinomycetota; Actinomycetes; Actinomycetales; Actinomycetaceae
Description: partial 16S ribosomal RNA
Source: RNAcentral
CACGUAGUUAGCCGGCGCUUCUUAUCCAGCUACCGUCAACCCACCCACAAGGAGCAGGCCUGCUUCACUGGCGAAAGAGGUUUACAACCCGAAGGCCUCCAUCCCUCACGCGGCGUCGCUGCAUCAGGCUUGCGCCCAUUGUGCAAUAUUCCCCCACUGCUGCCUCCCGUAGGAGUCUGGGCCGUGUCUCAGUCCCAGUGUGACCGUCCACCCUCUCAGGCCGGCUACCCGUCACCGCCUUGGUAGGCCAUUACCCCACCAACAAGCUGAUAGGCCGCGAGCCCAUCCCCACCGAAACAAUAUCUUUCCCGGGCCCGUCAUGCGACAGACCCAGAAUAUCCCGUAUUAGCCACACUUUCAUGCGGUUAUCCAGAAGAAGGGGCAGGUUACUCACGUGUUACUCACCCGUUCGCCACUCAUCCAGAACCAGCCAAGCUGGUCCCUUCACCGUUCGACUUGCAUGUGUUAAGCACGCCGCCAGCGUUCGUCCUGAGCCAGGAUCAAA